UCUUCCUUCAGGUAGACACCAGGAUGA
RNAcentral lists this non-coding RNA (27 nucleotides) under Mus musculus (house mouse). Lineage: Eukaryota; Metazoa; Chordata; Mammalia; Rodentia; Muridae. The record is from RNAcentral.